This 199-nucleotide ribosomal RNA is filed under the name uncultured bacterium. RNAcentral's name for it is "partial 16S ribosomal RNA". It matches the Rfam family "Bacterial small subunit ribosomal RNA", at positions 1302 to 1500 of the family's 1533-position model. The record is from RNAcentral.
AGUCUGCAACUCGACUACAUGAAGCUGGAAUCGCUAGUAAUCGCAAAUCAGCAUGUUGCGGUGAAUCCGUUCCCGGGUCUUGUACACACCGCCCGUCACACCAUGGGAGUUGGAAACGCCCGAAGUCAGUGACCGAACCGAAAGGGAGGAGCUGCCGAAGGCGGGUCGAAUAACUGGGGUGAAGUCGUAACAAGGUAUC